UACAGAGGUGGCAAGCGUUGUUCGGAAUUACUGGGCGUAAAGGGCGAGUAGGUGGCUAUCUAAGUCAGACGUGAAAUCCCCCGGCUUAACCUGGGAACUGCGUCUGAUACUGGACGGCUUGAGUAUGGGAGAGGAACGUAGAAUUCCAGGUGUAGCGGUGAAAUGCGUAGAUAUCUGGAGGAAUACCGGUGGCGAAGGCGGCAUCCUGGACCGAGAUUGACGCUGAGGAGCGAAAGCUAGGGGAGCAAACGGG
Molecule: ribosomal RNA, 253 nt
Filed under: uncultured bacterium
Lineage: Bacteria
Description: partial 16S ribosomal RNA
Rfam family: Bacterial small subunit ribosomal RNA
Source: RNAcentral